AAGCGGAGGAAAAGAAACCAACAGGGAUUGCCUCAGUAACGGCGAGUGAAGCGGCAAAAGCUCAAAUUUGAAAUCUGGCACUUUCAGUGUCCGAGUUGUAAUUUGAAGAUGGAUUUCUGGAGUUGGCCCCUGUCUAUGUUCCUUGGAACAGGACGUCACAGAGGGUGAGAAUCCCGUCUGGCGGGGUGGUCCAGCUCCAUGUAGAUUUCCUUCGAAGAGUCGAGUUGUUUGGGAAUGCAGCUCUAAGUGGGAGGUAAAUUCCUUCUAAAGCUAAAUAUUGGCGAGAGACCGAUAGCGAACAAGUACAGUGAUGGAAAGAUGAAAAGAACUUUGAAAAGAGAGUGAAAAAGUACGUGAAAUUGUUGAAAGGGAAGGGUAUUAGAUCAGACUUGGUGUUUUGUGAUUAUCAUUCCCUCGUGGGAUGUGCACUCGCAUUGCGCUGGGCCAGCAUCGGUUCGAGUGGCAAGAUAAUGACUUGGGAACGUGGCUCUGCUUCGGGAGAGUGUUAUAGCCCACAGUUGAUGUUGCCUACUUGGACCGAGGACUGCGGCUUUAUUGCCUAGGAUGCUGGCGUAAUGAUCUAAUACCGCCCGUCUUGA
RNAcentral lists this ribosomal RNA (599 nucleotides) under Cyberlindnera sp. NCYC 4048. RNAcentral's name for it is "eukaryotic LSU rRNA". It matches the Rfam family "Eukaryotic large subunit ribosomal RNA", at positions 48 to 657 of the family's 3401-position model. Lineage: Eukaryota; Fungi; Ascomycota; Saccharomycetes; Phaffomycetales; Wickerhamomycetaceae. The record is from RNAcentral.